RNAcentral lists this transfer RNA (72 nucleotides) under Acanthaster planci (crown-of-thorns starfish). Its description in RNAcentral is "tRNA-Leu". It matches the Rfam family "tRNA". Rfam says of the family: Transfer RNA (tRNA) molecules are approximately 80 nucleotides in length. Their secondary structure includes four short double-helical elements and three loops (D, anti-codon, and T loops). The record is from Rfam by way of RNAcentral. Lineage: Eukaryota; Metazoa; Echinodermata; Asteroidea; Valvatida; Acanthasteridae.
GUUAGGGUAGCAAAGUGGUUACUGCGCUAGAUUUAGGAUCUAAUAUCGAAGGUUCGAGUCCUUCUCCUAGCU